Molecule: long non-coding RNA, 125 nt
Organism: Sander lucioperca (pikeperch)
Lineage: Eukaryota; Metazoa; Chordata; Actinopteri; Perciformes; Percidae
Exons: 3
Source: RefSeq, a predicted model, not a curated record
AUAACAUUUUAUUAAAUCGGACCACAGUGUUUCUGUCACUUCCUGUUCAGCCUGAAGGCUGCUGGAAUCGUCUGGAAACUGUCUGACUUGACAGUGGAUUUUUGUCACCGCCCCCGGCGGCUGCC